CCGAAAGGCGUAGUCGAUGGGAAACAGGUUAAUAUUCCUGUACUUGGUGUUACUGCGAAGGGGGGACGGAGAAGGCUAUGUUAGCCGGGCGACGGUUGUCCCGGUUUAAGCAUGUAGGCGGAGGUUCCAGGUAAAUCCGGUACCUUUUUAACGCUGAGGUGUGAUGACGAGGCACUACGGUGCUGAAGUAACAAAUGCCCUGCUUCCAGGAAAAGCCUCUAAGCAUCAGGUAACAUUAAAUCGUACCCCAAACCGACACAGGUGGUCAGGUAGAGAAUACCAAGGCGCUUGAGAGAACUCGGGUGAAGGAACUAGGCAAAAUGGUGCCGUAACUUCGGGAGAAGGCACGCUGAUAUGUAGGUGAAGCCCCUGCGGGUGGAGCUGAAAUCAGUCGAAGAUACCAGCUGGCUGCAACUGUUUAUUAAAAACACAGCACUGUGCAAACACGAAAGUGGACGUAUACGGUGUGACGCCUGCCCGGUGCCGGAAGGUUAAUUGAUGGGGUUAUCCGUAAGGAGAAGCUCUUGAUCGAAGCCCCGGUAAACGGCGGCCGUAACUAUAACGGUCCUAAGGUAGCGAAAUUCCUUGUCGGGUAAGUUCCGACCUGCACGAAUGGCGUAAUGAUGGCCAGGCUGUCUCCACCCGAGACUCAGUGAAAUUGAACUCGCUGUGAAGAUGCAGUGUACCCGCGGCAAGACGGAAAGACCCCGUGAACCUUUACUAUAGCUUGACACUGAACAUUGAGCCUUGAUGUGUAGGAUAGGUGGGAGGCUUUGAAGCGUGGACGCCAGUCUGCGUGGAGCCAACCUUGAAAUACCACCCUUUAAUGUUUGAUGUUCUAACGUUGGCCCCUUAUCGGGGUUGCGGACAGUGUCUGGUGGGUAGUUUGACUGGGGCGGUCUCCUCCCAAAGAGUAACGGAGGAGCACGAAGGUUAGCUAAUCCUGGUCGGACAUCAGGAGGUUAGUGCAAUGGCAUAAGCUAGCUUGACUGCGAGCGUGACGGCGCGAGCAGGUGCGAAAGCAGGUCAUAGUGAUCCGGUGGUUCUGAAUGGAAGGGCCAUCGCUCAACGGAUAAAAGGUACUCCGGGGAUAACAGGCUGAUACCGCCCAAGAGUUCAUAUCGACGGCGGUGUUUGGCACCUCGAUGUCGGCUCAUCACAUCCUGGGGCUGAAGUAGGUCCCAAGGGUAUGGCUGUUCGCCAUUUAAAGUGGUACGCGAGCUGGGUUUAGAACGUCGUGAGACAGUUCGGUCCCUAUCUGCCGUGGGCGCUGGAGAAUUGAGGGGGGCUGCUCCUAGUACGAGAGGACCGGAGUGGACGCAUCACUGGUGUUCGGGUUGUCAUGCCAAUGGCAUUGCCCGGUAGCUAAAUGCGGAAGAGAUAAGUGCUGAAAGCAUCUAAGCACGAAACUUGCCCCGAGAUGAGUUCUCCCUGACUCCUUGAGAGUCCUGAAGGAACGUUAAAGACGAUGACGUUGAUAGGUCGGGUGUGUAAGCGUAGCGAUACGUUGAGCUAACCGAUACUAAUGAACCGUGAGGCUUAACCUU
This 1547-nucleotide ribosomal RNA is filed under the name Klebsiella aerogenes. RNAcentral's name for it is "bacterial LSU rRNA". It matches the Rfam family "Bacterial large subunit ribosomal RNA", at positions 1402 to 2925 of the family's 2925-position model. The record is from RNAcentral. Lineage: Bacteria; Pseudomonadati; Pseudomonadota; Gammaproteobacteria; Enterobacterales; Enterobacteriaceae.